This 467-nucleotide ribosomal RNA is filed under the name uncultured bacterium. RNAcentral's name for it is "partial 16S ribosomal RNA". It matches the Rfam family "Bacterial small subunit ribosomal RNA", at positions 28 to 507 of the family's 1533-position model. The record is from RNAcentral.
GACGAACGCUGGCGGCGUGCUUAACACAUGCAAGUCGAACGGAAAGGCCCUGCUUUUGUGGGGUGCUCGAGUGGCGAACGGGUGAGUAACACGUGAGUAACCUGCCCUUGACUUUGGGAUAACUUCAGGAAACUGGGGCUAAUACCGGAUAGGAUCUCCUGCUGCAUGGUGGGGGUUGGAAAGUUUCGGCGGUUGGGGAUGGACUCGCGGCUUUUGAGCUUGUUGGUGGGGUAGUUGCUUACCAAGGCUUUGACGGGUAGCCGGCCUGGAAGGGUGACAGGCCAAAGUGGAAUAGGGGAAGGGGCAGGAGGCAAACGGGAGGAAGGGGGGAGAAUAUUGCACAAUGGGCGGAAGCCUGAGGCAGAAACGCCGCGUGCGGGAUGACGGCCUUCGGGUUGUAAACAGCUUUCGCCUGUGACGAAGCGUGAGUGACGGUAAUGGGUAAAGAAGCACCGGCUAACUACGUG